AUUGAACGCUGGCGGCAGGCCUAACACAUGCAAGUCGAACGGUAACAGGAAGAAGCUUGCUUCUUUGCUGACGAGUGGCGGACGGGUGAGUAAUGUCUGGGAAACUGCCUGAUGGAGGGGGAUAACUACUGGAAACGGUAGCUAAUACCGCAUAACGUCGCAAGACCAAAGAGGGGGACCUUCGGGCCUCUUGCCAUCGGAUGUGCCCAGAUGGGAUUAGCUAGUAGGUGGGGUAACGGCUCACCUAGGCGACGAUCCCUAGCUGGUCUGAGAGGAUGACCAGCCACACUGGAACUGAGACACGGUCCAGACUCCUACGGGAGGCAGCAGUGGGGAAUAUUGCACAAUGGGCGCAAGCCUGAUGCAGCCAUGCCGCGUGUAUGAAGAAGGCCUUCGUGUUGUAAAGUACUUUCAGCGGGGAGGAAGGGAGUAAAGUUAAUACCUUUACUCAUUGACGUUACCCGCAGAAGAAGCACCGGCUAACUCCGUG
RNAcentral lists this ribosomal RNA (490 nucleotides) under uncultured bacterium. RNAcentral describes it as "partial 16S ribosomal RNA". It matches the Rfam family "Bacterial small subunit ribosomal RNA", at positions 30 to 507 of the family's 1533-position model. The record is from RNAcentral.